RNAcentral lists this ribosomal RNA (485 nucleotides) under bacterium A4M_VP5_H10. RNAcentral describes it as "bacterial SSU rRNA". It matches the Rfam family "Bacterial small subunit ribosomal RNA", at positions 339 to 814 of the family's 1533-position model. The record is from RNAcentral.
UAAUNCGGGNGGCNGCGGUGGGGNGUUUUGCCCCGUGGGCGCNCGCCUGUUGCGGCCGUGCCGCGUGUNUGACGAAGGCCUUCGGGUUGUAAAGUACUUUCNGCAGUGAGGAAGGGGUGUCCGUUAAUAGCGUGCAUCUUUGACGUUAGCUGCAGAAGAAGCACCGGCUAACUCCGUGCCAGCAGCCGCGGUAAUACGGAGGGUGCGAGCGUUAAUCGGAAUUACUGGGCGUAAAGCGCAUGCAGGUGGUUUGUUAAGUCAAAUGUGAAAGCCCGGGGCUCAACCUCGGAAUAGCAUUUGAAACUGGCAGACUAGAGUACUGUAAAGGGGGGUAGAAUUUCAGGUGUAGCGGUGAAAUGCGUACAGAUCUGAAGGAAUACCGGGGGCGAAGGCGGCCCCCUGGACAGAUACUGACACUCACAUGCCAAAGCGUGGGGAGCAAACAGGAUUAAAUACCCUGGUAGUCCACGCCGUAAACGAUGUCU